This 253-nucleotide ribosomal RNA is filed under the name uncultured bacterium. RNAcentral's name for it is "partial 16S ribosomal RNA". It matches the Rfam family "Bacterial small subunit ribosomal RNA", at positions 524 to 776 of the family's 1533-position model. The record is from RNAcentral.
UACGUAGGGUGCAAGCGUUAAUCGGAAUUACUGGGCGUAAAGCGUGCGCAGGCGGUUGUGCACGACCGAUGUGAAAUCCCCGGGCUUAACCUGGGAAUGGCAUUGGUGACUGCACGGCUAGAGUGUGUCAGAGGGGGGUAGAAUUCCACGUGUAGCAGUGAAAUGCGUAGAGAUGUGGAGGAAUACCGAUGGCGAAGGCAGCCCCCUGGGAUAACACUGACGCUCAUGCACGAAAGCGUGGGGAGCAAACAGG